RNAcentral lists this unclassified non-coding RNA (352 nucleotides) under soil metagenome. RNAcentral describes it as "partial contains 5.8S ribosomal RNA, internal transcribed spacer 2, and large subunit ribosomal RNA". The stretch from base 1 to 120 matches the Rfam family "5.8S ribosomal RNA", at positions 35 to 154 of the family's 154-position model. The record is from RNAcentral.
GAUGAAGAACGUAGCGAAAUGCGAUAAGUAAUGUGAAUUGCAGAAUUCAGUGAAUCAUCGAAUCUUUGAACGCAUCUUGCGCCCGCCAGUAUUCUGGCGGGCAUGUCUGUUCGAGCGUCAUUACAACCCUCAGGCCCCCGGGCCUGGCGUUGGGGAUCGGCGGAGCCCCCCGUGGGCACACGCCGUCCCCCAAAUACAGUGGCGGUCCCGCCGCAGCUUCCAUCGCGUAGUAGCUAACACCUCGCGACUGGAGAGCGGCGCGGCCACGCCGUAAAACACCCAACUCUUCUGAAGUUGACCUCGAAUCAGGUAGGAAUACCCGCUGAACUUAAGCAUAUCAAUAAGCGGAGGA